ACCACCUCGUGCUGCUCGCCGUCGUCACCGUCACCUUCGUCGUCUGCUCGCUGCCCUUCACGUUGCGCGUUUACAUGAACAAUUUUACCCGGUCCGAAAACUACCAAGAGGAUCUCCGGGCACUGAGGUUUCUAUCCAUGAAUUCAAUCAUUGACCCCUGGAUCUUUGCCAUCCUGAGGCCGCCGGUGCUGAGGCUGAUACAUUCUGUGCUGUGCUGUGAGAUGUCCUCGAAGACCAAAGAGGAAGCCCCGACGCUGGCCAUUGAACAGGGUGAACUCAAUAAGCAGACGGACCUUUGUGGUCAGUAGCUAGAUUUGGCAGAAGACAUCUGGAAGACCAGGGCUCCUCAGGGUAAAAGCAUGCACUGAGCAGUGCUUUCAGGUUGGCGAACGACUACGUCUACUGUCCAACGGACCAAGCUGCAGCUGGGCCGACGGGACUCUGUAGCACCCAUUGGAAAGCCUGUGAGAAGUCCGCGUGAGGCGAGCACAUGAUGCAGCACAUCAGAAACCCCCUUUCGGGACUGUGUCUGAGAAGCUGACAGUAACUGGAUUUGCCUCCACUCGCUCAGAUACUGUGCACUCAGCAUAGGAUGCACGGCUGUCUAGCGUGUUUGAAACUGUUCCUGGGAAGCCCAGGUGACACUGUUGCCUCAUGAGACAACUCAGCAGAGGGGGAUGGAGACACCAAGUGUAGCUGCAGGACAGUGGCUGUAUCACCAAAGCCACUGAGGCCACAGCUUGCGGUAGCUUAACACACGGUGUAUCCAACUACUGAAACCGAGCUCCUUUCCCCCUGCUGCUACGCCUGCCUCUCAGUCCAUCCUCCCUCUCACCUCACCUUAGGCCUGAGCUUCCUGCCUCUCUCCCAGCUGGACUUGUAGCCUUCACUACAGGGCGGAGGCAGCAAGGGGCUGGUGGUGCCUCAAGCUCACAGACCAUGUGCCAGGCAGGGGGACACACGGGGUCCCGGCAGCCUGUGAGUGCAGGAGGAGCUCGGUGCUUGUGCAGGGGGGGCUUUCUCUGCUCUCCUGAGGGGCUCCACCACCUUUGUAUCCCUGGGCUAGGUCCACAAACAGGCUGCAGGACUUUGUAUGUGCUGGUUCCUGGAGGGAACAGGCCUCCACUGUGGUGCAGGGGGAGAGUUAGACCCUUACAGUAGCAUCUGAAGCAGCCAGUAUGUGGAGCAGGAUGCUGGCGCACAGCCCCAGAGCGAGCCACGGCUCAGUACCCGCCAUGAGCUGGUCCUUACCUCACACACUCAGACCUGCAAAGUUUCUCCUGAGCUGGGGACCCAGGCCAUCAGGCGGUCAUGUCAGGCAUUGCUUGCUGCCUCAUCUAGCCUCGCUCGGCAUUGGCCCAUGAACCGGAGCCAUCCCAACAGCAUUCUGGUGUGUACAGAAAGGUCCUUUCCAUCUCAGGUUUGUCUUUCUGGCCGAAUGCUGGAUACUUCUCGCCUCCCCUCUGCCUGAUUGUGUGCCUGCCCUAAGCUUCCCUCUGCUAGCACAGGACCCAGGCUUGCUCUGUGCUGGUGCUGGGUCACCCAUACACGUCAAUGCCUGCCUGCAGGAGGCUAGACCCUGUGCAAAGAAUGGCUAAAUAGCGAAGGCAACACUUCCUUGCCCAAGUCCUGAGCCUGAAUGUGAACCCAUAAGCAAAGAUCCAGGCCAACAGUCGCACAAGCUGAAAGAGCAGCUCUAGGAGCAGGUGCCCGUACUCCAUGGACCCAGCCACUGGCAGCUGACUUCAUACACACACUGAUAUAACUUCUCCCAUGGGCUUUCCAGGCUGGAGACGUGGCUUGGUCUCGUACUGCGUUCUCACCAGUCUGCUGGCGAUACAGCAGGGUGUCCCCUGGGAGCACGGGAUGGGAAGGGACUUCUGGAGCUGAUGCCUGAUGUGGCAGGCAGCUGUGUGGGUCUGUAAGAGCCUCCACUCCAGCCCCUCUCACACCCCAGGGUCUCCGAGCCCUUGAUAACAGGAGGGCAACCCCCCAGUGUUCAGGGGGAGGGCAGGAGAGUAGUCCUACAAAAGCCUUGGCCAUUGCAAUGGCAGGGAAGGUGCUAAGUAGACUUGGCUCUGAUGACCCUGAGAAGCAUAAAACACCCUAUGCCAGGGGACAGGAAAAGCCCCCACCAGUCUCUGCUGGUCUGACCUGCAGGGAAUUACCUCCUGACCCAGAGCACAAGAGCAAGCCCCACCACCCAGGGGACUAGCUUGUACCUCAGAUACUCGGCUUGUGAUAAAGGGCAUGGAGGAACCAGGCAGCAGAGGGAAGACAGCCCUGCAUGUGUCUUCCUUUUUACUCCCCACACUGCCUUGCUGCAGCUGAUCAGGUCUGGCAGGAGAGCAGAGGCCCUUGCAGCCCCUCUGCUUCCCUGGGCUCACAGGCUGACCCUUCAGUGUAAAGAACAGGUAAAAAGUGGCCCUAAAGGCUACGAAAGGCAGGUGCCUUCCCUCUCUUUUGAGUUUCAGGCUUCUUGUAAGCCAAGGCAAUCCCUAUCUGUUAUGGGGGGCUGGGGGCAGUGUUAGGGCGGGUGACUUGUUGCUCGUGGAACCACCAAUGCUGCAUGGUUGCACAACCAUUAGUGUGAGGCAGCUCCUUGCUCCUAUUCUGGGACCUGAAUGAAGGUACUGGAGCACCUGGCUCGUACAGCACUUAUCUGGCCGGCUGUUCUGCAUUUGCACAUUAGGAACAGCUUUGAAGAGUUAAUGGAGACAUGCCUGAGCUUGGUCCUGGUGCAGAGCCAGCCCAGCCCGUGCUCGGUGAAGCUACCAGGGCAGAACUGGCCCCAUAGCUGCUUGCCUUGCACAGGCCAAGUGGCUGCUGAUGAAUAGAGAAUGGCUGGACGCAGUCCACUCCAGCAGCCGGCACACAAGCUAGAGUCCCAGCUCUGUGGCAAUGACACCAGCUGCUUAGGCGUGCCACUCUGCAAGGCACAGGGCUGCCCCUGGGGCAUGAGGCCACGUCAGGACGGCCUGAUGCACAAAAGGCCCCUUCAUGCUCACCCUGCAUUGCUAACACUGCUUGGCCUCAUGACCGAUAGCAGGACACAUCAGUGGCAUGGACUGGAGCAUGCCCUGUCAUGGCACGCCACCCCCUUCUCACCCCCACAACCCCUUCACUGCGCACAUCGUGGCUUGCCCAUGCCCCCCUCAUUGCUUGCCUCUUCCCCCUCUCCUUGGGCAUCUGAACAUCCCAGGGCUGGAGAGCCUGAAGGUUACAUUGAACAGUCAGCUCAUCUCAGCCUUUGCCCAGGAGGGCUAUGACCCUCUAGCCUAGUCUGCUUUCAGUCCAUUCACCCUGGCCCCACUGAGCUUGAGGCAGGCAGAGCUGUAUGGACAUCACUGCCCGGACAAACUGCAGGCUGUCUGCAUGGAAAAUGGGCUGGCCGCUUGCUGCCGCAGAGCACAAGGCUUAGUCAAUAGGAAAUGAAAUGCAGCACUUUCCUUUGCUGACAACUUAUUUUCAUAUUGCAACAUGAGUUGGGAUGCUCAAGGGUGUUGUUUUUCUAGGGAGAUUUUUAUUUAAAUACUUAAAAACUGUACAUUCAGGCUGUCAGAUAUGCACUGUCGGAUAUGUUUAUUCUUGCCAGUGCUGGUUUGUUUCUCAGGACAUAGUACUCUCUUCCUCGUGAUUUCAGGCCAAACGCUGCAUUACGUCCACACACUAUGCAUUCCCCAUUGAAGGCCAGAGAGCAAAUCCAUCGCUGGUGUAAGAGGCUACAACUCCACCAGUUCAACUGAGAAUUGCCUCAUUUCAUCUCCCCCUCUUCCCUUCCCUGCUGUGUGAUUCUUAUUUGAGCCUCUGAAGCUGCUUUUGCCAGAGAUGAAUUUGCUAACGGGAUUGCUGAUGUCAGACAUCUCCGGAGAGCAUGUUGCUCCACUUCCUAACGAAUCUGAAAGCAAUGCAGUGUUUUAUUUCAUUGCUACUUGAUCUUUGUGAUGGGUAUUUAAGGGCUCAAUUGCUGCCUGAAAAUAACCAGGCAAAGUCCCGAGCUUUUCCUGUUCCUGUGAUUGAUGCAUAGUAAUAAAAGUCAUCUUUCAAACAAA
Long non-coding RNA from Gavialis gangeticus (Gharial), 4052 nucleotides. RefSeq lists it as uncharacterized. NCBI's taxonomy places the organism in Eukaryota, Metazoa, Chordata, Crocodylia, Gavialidae. The transcript is spliced from 2 exons. The record is from RefSeq and is a predicted model, not a curated record.